Molecule: ribosomal RNA, 368 nt
Filed under: uncultured eukaryote
Lineage: Eukaryota
Description: partial 18S ribosomal RNA
Rfam family: Eukaryotic small subunit ribosomal RNA
Source: RNAcentral
CAAUAGCGUAUAUUAACGUUGUUGCAGUUAAAAAGCUCGUAGUUGGAUUUCUGGAGGGAGCGUCGGCCCGUAUUUACGAGUGCGUGACGUCUCUGUCCAUCCUUGCGGGAAGGCACGGCAUUGAUUUGUUGUGUCGGAUCGCAUCAUUUACUGUGAAAAAAUUAGAGUGUUCAAAGCAGGCUUUCGCUUGAAUACAUUAGCAUGGAAUAAUAAGAUAGGACUUUGGUGCUAUUUUGUUGGUUUGCAGACCGAAGUAAUGAUUAAUAGGGAUAGUUGGGGGUAUUUAUAUUCCGAUGUCAGAGGUGAAAUUCUUAGAUUUUCGGAAGAUAAACUUAUGCGAAAGCAUUUACCAAGGAUGUUUUCAUUAA